CUUGCUCUCUUGGCGGCGAGUGGCGGACGGGUGAGUAAUAUAUCGGAACGUGCCCAGUAGCGGGGGAUAACUACUCGAAAGAGUGGCUAAUACCGCAUACGCCCUACGGGGGAAAGGGGGGGAUCGCAAGACCUCUCACUAUUGGAGCGGCCGAUAUCGGAUUAGCUAGUUGGUGGGGUAAAGGCUCACCAAGGCAACGAUCCGUAGCUGGUUUGAGAGGACGACCAGCCACACUGGGACUGAGACACGGCCCAGACUCCUACGGGAGGCAGCAGUGGGGAAUUUUGGACAAUGGGGGAAACCCUGAUCCAGCCAUCCCGCGUGUAUGAUGAAGGCCUUCGGGUUGUAAAGUACUUUUGGCAGAGAAGAAAAGGUAUCUCCUAAUACGAGAUACUGCUGACGGUAUCUGCAGAAUAAGCACCGGCUAACUACGUGCCAGCAGCCGCGGUAAUACGUAGGGUGCAAGCGUUAAUCGGAAUUACUGGGCGUAAAGCGUGUGUAGGCGGUUCGGAAAGAAAGAUGUGAAAUCCCAGGGCUCAACCUUGGAACUGCAUUUUUAACUGCCGAGCUAGAGUAUGUCAGAGGGGGGUAGAAUUCCACGUGUAGCAGUGAAAUGCGUA
RNAcentral lists this ribosomal RNA (620 nucleotides) under Alcaligenes phenolicus. RNAcentral's name for it is "bacterial SSU rRNA". It matches the Rfam family "Bacterial small subunit ribosomal RNA", at positions 75 to 692 of the family's 1533-position model. The record is from RNAcentral. Lineage: Bacteria; Pseudomonadati; Pseudomonadota; Betaproteobacteria; Burkholderiales; Alcaligenaceae.